UCCGGUUUGUCACCGGCAGUCUCCUUAGAGUUCCCGACCGAAUCGCUGGCAACUAAGGACAAGGGUUGCGCUCGUUACGGGACUUAACCCAACAUCUCACGACACGAGCUGACGACAGCCAUGCAGCACCUGUCACCCGGUUCCCGAAGGCACUCCACCAUCUCUGGUAGAUUCCGGGGAUGUCAAGGGUAGGUAAGGUUUUUCGCGUUGCAUCGAAUUAAACCACAUGCUCCACCGCUUGUGCGGGCCCCCGUCAAUUUCUUUGAGUUUUAAUCUUGCGACCGUACUCCCCAGGCGGAGAACUUAACGCGUUAGCUUCGCUACUAAAGGGUGACCCCUCCAACAGCUAGUUCUCAUCGUUGACAGCGUGGACUAC
RNAcentral lists this unclassified non-coding RNA (376 nucleotides) under uncultured Gammaproteobacteria bacterium. RNAcentral's name for it is "contains 16S-23S intergenic spacer region". Lineage: Bacteria; Pseudomonadati; Pseudomonadota; Gammaproteobacteria. The record is from RNAcentral.